AGGACGAACGCUGGCGGCGUGCUUAACACAUGCAAGUCGGGCGACGCUCUCCCUUCGGGGGGAUGACGGAGCGGCGAACGGGUGAGUAACACGUGGGCAACCUGCCCCUAGCUCUGGGACAACACCGGGAAACCGGUGCUAAUACCGGAUACGACAUCGAGCGGCAUCUCUCGAUGUGGAAAGUUUUUUUCGGCUAGGGAUGGGCCCGCGGCCUAUCAGCUUGUUGGUGGGGUAAUGGCCCACCAAGGCGACGACGGGUA
Molecule: ribosomal RNA, 260 nt
Filed under: uncultured soil bacterium
Lineage: Bacteria
Description: partial 16S ribosomal RNA
Rfam family: Bacterial small subunit ribosomal RNA
Source: RNAcentral